GAGGGGUUGGAAAGAUUGUAAAAGCCAGAGGCAGUGGAUGACUACAGCAAAAUUAGUUUCUGAGUACAGCAAGACAACUACAUUUAUAAACUAGCUCAUAUGCAACAGAGUAUAUAAGACAUGAGCAAGCUUAAACUGGACAAAAUAAACCUGCGAAGAGGGGAGAAGUAAGCACAAAACUCCACCUCUAAAAGAGGACUCUGCUGCAAUUCAAAGUUUGCAGGAGAAAGAGAAUCAGGUUUCUCUAGGGGUGUGGCCUCUGGUGGGUUAACCACAGGCUCUAGGGCAUAGCCUGACUCUUGCAGCAUUUAGGCAACACAAAUUGAACCACAUU
This 334-nucleotide long non-coding RNA is filed under the name Mus musculus (house mouse). RNAcentral describes it as "long non-coding RNA chr4:14525863-14526197". Lineage: Eukaryota; Metazoa; Chordata; Mammalia; Rodentia; Muridae. The record is from RNAcentral.